This 417-nucleotide ribosomal RNA is filed under the name uncultured Methanolinea sp. Its description in RNAcentral is "bacterial SSU rRNA". It matches the Rfam family "Archaeal small subunit ribosomal RNA", at positions 922 to 1338 of the family's 1478-position model. Lineage: Archaea; Methanobacteriati; Methanobacteriota; Methanomicrobia; Methanomicrobiales; Methanoregulaceae. The record is from RNAcentral.
AGCUCACCGGAUUAAGACAGCGUGGAUGAUAGCCGGGCUGAAGACUCUGCUUGACUAGCUGAGAGGAGGUGCAUGGCCGUCGUCAGUUCGUACUGUGAAGCAUCCUGUUAAGUCAGGCAACGAGCGAAACCCACGCCAACAGUUGCCAGCAUGUCCUCCGGGAUGAUGGGGGACACUGUUGGGACCGCUCUGCUAAAGAGGAGGAAGGAAUGGGCAACGGUAGGUCAGCAUGCCCCGAAUUAUCCGGGCUACACGCGGGCUACAAUGGUCAGGACAAUGGGUAUCGACACCGAGAGGUGGAGGCAAUCUCCUAAACCUGUCCUUAGUUCGGAUUGUGGGCUGCAACUCGCCCACAUGAAGCUGGAAUCCGUAGUAAUCGCGUUUCAAAAUAGCGCGGUGAAUAUGUCCCUGCUCCUU